RNAcentral lists this long non-coding RNA (648 nucleotides) under Monodelphis domestica (gray short-tailed opossum). RNAcentral's name for it is "lncRNA (ENSMODG00000032088.2)". Lineage: Eukaryota; Metazoa; Chordata; Mammalia; Didelphimorphia; Didelphidae. The record is from RNAcentral.
UUAAUAUGAAAGUGAAUUUUGUCCUUUUUACAACUGGUAUAAAGAGUAAACUGCUCUGUGGUUAACAAUUGAUUCUAUUUUUCCCUUCAGGAUCAAAUUAUUUGCCACCUGGGGAACAAGGGAAAGAAGAGGACCUGUGCCCCUUGUUCCCAGAAGACUUCAUCCCAGCCAGCACAUUUCCUGAUUGAAUGAAAGAAUUAAGGAAAUAGCAAACCAUUCAAGUAUCUUUGCUGAGAAAAUUCCAUGGAUGGCAUGGGUCCACAAGAUCAUGAGUUGGACAUCACUGAAUAACAACAACAAGAGUGGCAGAGAAGUUAUAUACCGCUCUGGAGCUCUGUGGGCAAAAGCCCAAAUGCCGGGUAAGGGAGUCAGCCGAGCCCAACUGAUGACUAUGAAACAAGUCUUCGGGGAUCUUUCAUUUGCUCUUUCUGGUUGAGUUUCAUGGACUAGCUGCCUUGGGAAACGACACAGAGCAGCAACAUUCCAGACCCAGCAAGUCCUGAUCCCUGGAGGGAAGGGAGGUGAUUUUUCUUCUCAUCACUCCCAUCCUCAUUUCCCACCUCUCACCCAAGCAGCUGGUAUUCGCAGUGACCGAGAUGCUUCCUAACCGAGGAGAGGGAAUCUGGCGUAUUAGAGAAAAGGGGAACU